RNAcentral lists this ribosomal RNA (403 nucleotides) under uncultured bacterium. Its description in RNAcentral is "bacterial SSU rRNA". It matches the Rfam family "Bacterial small subunit ribosomal RNA", at positions 30 to 433 of the family's 1533-position model. The record is from RNAcentral.
AUUGAACGCUGGCGGCAUGCCUUACACAUGCAAGUCGAACGGCAGCACGGGAGCUUGCUCCUGGUGGCGAGUGGCGAACGGGUGAGUAAUACGUCGGAACGUACCCUGAAGUGGGGGAUAACGUAGCGAAAGUUACGCUAAUACCGCAUAUUCUGUGAGCAGGAAAGAGGGGGAUCGCAAGACCUCUUGCUUUAGGAGCGGCCGAUGUCGGAUUAGCUAGUUGGUGAGGUAAAGGCUCACCAAGGCGACGAUCCGUAGCGGGUCUGAGAGGAUGAUCCGCCACACUGGGACUGAGACACGGCCCAGACUCCUACGGGAGGCAGCAGUGGGGAAUUUUGGACAAUGGGCGCAAGCCUGAUCCAGCCAUGCCGCGUGAGUGAAGAAGGCCUCGGUUGUAAGGUAC